UACGUAGGGGGCAAGCGUUGUCCGGAUUUAUUGGGCGUAAAGAGCGUGUAGGCGGCCAAGCAGGUCCGCUGUGAAAACUCGAGGCUCAACCUCGAGACGUCGGUGGAAACCGUUUGGCUAGAGUCCGGAAGAGGAGAGUGGAAUUCCCGGUGUAGCGGUGAAAUGCGCAGAUAUCGGGAGGAACACCGGUGGCGAAGGCGGGUCACUGGCCCGGUACUGACGCUGAGGUGCGAAAGCGUGGGGAGCAAACAGG
RNAcentral lists this ribosomal RNA (253 nucleotides) under uncultured bacterium. Its description in RNAcentral is "partial 16S ribosomal RNA". It matches the Rfam family "Bacterial small subunit ribosomal RNA", at positions 524 to 776 of the family's 1533-position model. The record is from RNAcentral.